UUCCGGUUGAUCCUGCCGGACCCCACUGCUAUCGGGAUAGGACUAAGACAUGCUAGUCGAGUGGCUCAGCCAAUACGAGCCACGGCAUACAGCUCAGUAACACGUGGCUAAUCUGCCCUUAGGACGAGAACAACCCCGGGAAACUGGGGCUAACUCUCGAUAGGCGAAGAACUCUGGAAUGAGUCUUCACCUAAAUAGUUCGGCGUUACGCUCGUUGAACCGCCUAAGGAUGAGGCCACGACCGAUCAGGUUGUUGGUGAGGUAAUGGCUCACCAAGCCUUUUACCGGUGCGGGCCGUGAGAGCGGGAGCCCGGAGAUGGGCACUGAGACAAGGGCCCAGGCCCUACGGGGCGCAGCAGUCGCGAAAACUUUGCAAUACACGAAAGUGUGACAGGGCUAUCCCGAGUGCCAUCCGCUGAGGAAGGCUUUUACCCAGUCUAGAAAGCUGGGGGAAUAAGGAGAGGGCAAGUCUGGUGUCAGCCGCCGCGGUAAUACCAGCUCUCCGAGUGGUGUGGAUGUUUAUUGGGCCUAAAGCAUCCGUAGCUGGCUAAGUUAGUCCCUUGUUAAAUCCACCGAAUUAAUCGUUGGAUUGCGGGGGAUACUGCUUAGCUAGGGGACGAGAGAGGCAGACGGUAUUUCCGGGGUAGGGGUGAAAUCCUAUAAUCCCGGGGAGACCACCAGUGGCGAAGCUGUCUGCUAGAACGCGCCCGACGGUGAGGAUGAAAGCUGGGGGAGCGAACCGGAUUAAUACCCGGGUAGUCCCAGCUGUAAACGAUGCAAACUAGGUGUUUGAACGGCCACGUGCCGUUCUAGUGCCGCAGGGAAGCUGUUAAGUUUGCCGCCUGGGGAGUACGAUCGCAAGAUUGAAACUUAAAGGAAUUGGCGGGGGAGCACCACAAGGGGUGAAGCUGCGGUUAAUUGGAGUCAACGCCGG
This 934-nucleotide ribosomal RNA is filed under the name uncultured archaeon. Its description in RNAcentral is "bacterial SSU rRNA". It matches the Rfam family "Archaeal small subunit ribosomal RNA", at positions 1 to 921 of the family's 1478-position model. The record is from RNAcentral.